RNAcentral lists this ribosomal RNA (301 nucleotides) under uncultured bacterium. Its description in RNAcentral is "partial 16S ribosomal RNA". It matches the Rfam family "Bacterial small subunit ribosomal RNA", at positions 509 to 808 of the family's 1533-position model. The record is from RNAcentral.
CAGCAGCCGCGGGAAUACGUAGGUCCCGAGCGUUGUCCGGAUUUAUUGGGCGUAAAGCGAGCGCAGGCGGUUAGAUAAGUCUGAAGUUAAAGGCUGUGGCUUAACCAUAGUACGCUUUGGAAACUGUUUAACUUGAGUGCAAGAGGGGAGAGUGGAAUUCCAUGUGUAGCGGUGAAAUGCGUAGAUAUAUGGAGGAACACCGGUGGCGAAAGCGGCUCUCUGGCUUGUAACUGACGCUGAGGCUCGAAAGCGUGGGGAGCAAACAGGAUUAGAUACCCCAGUAGUCCCUGUCUCUUAUACA